Molecule: long non-coding RNA, 537 nt
Organism: Onychostruthus taczanowskii (white-rumped snowfinch)
Lineage: Eukaryota; Metazoa; Chordata; Aves; Passeriformes; Passeridae
Exons: 3
Source: RefSeq, a predicted model, not a curated record
UGGUCAAACACCAAGCCUGUCAGAAUUCAAGAAGCAUUUGGACAAUGCUCUCAGGCACACAGUGUCACUUUGGAGACAGUCCUGUGCAGGGCAAGGAGUUGGAUCCAAUGAUCCUUGCACCACCUGGCAGCUAUUGAUAUGAAGUUAGGAGAAUGAAGAUGAAUGGUCCAGAGGAAUAUUAAGUUACAUGGUUUCCUUCCCAAAGCACCUGUCUGGAGAUGGAUGGGCGCUUCAUCUGUUUCUGGAAGCCACCACUGCUGAAUGAGAAUCAGCUGGUUGUGUUGGAAUACAGAGGUAGUACCCAGAGGGAAGCCUGUGCUCUGCAGAGCCUGACUUCACAAGACACUGUGAGCAAGAGUGUCAAGAGACACUCUCUCUACACUCUGCCUUGUUCUGGAUGUGCAACUGCUCCCCACCCCUAGCAGAGAGCUUCUGCACAGAGAUAAAGAACUUUCUCCUAAUAAGCAACAUUUCUCAUUCCACCCUCUGCAACUAAACAUAUGCUCAGCUUGACUAAGACUUCCCGCUCAAUCCUGA